Molecule: long non-coding RNA, 414 nt
Organism: Gadus macrocephalus (Pacific cod)
Lineage: Eukaryota; Metazoa; Chordata; Actinopteri; Gadiformes; Gadidae
Exons: 2
Source: RefSeq, a predicted model, not a curated record
UUCAAGUCUGAAACUUUGUAUGUGCAGAGUUUGAUCCCUUUCCUAGGCCCUCAGGAAUCUUUAUGGGAAAACCUUUUUGACCCCUACCCAAAGACAUAGUUCAUAGCCGGUAUUUAUCAAAACACCAUGUCUUUGACCGCUGAUCGUCUCCAAAUCAAAGUCCAGUUGGGAGGAGGAACUGGGUGUGGAGCUGAUAGGGGACAGGUGGGAAGUGGCAGUGGACAGGGUGAACUCUUCGUCAUCCUGUGCUUGACUCAGUCUGAUUUGGCUAAAGUUGGUGCACAGAGCACAUUACAGUAAAGCUAGAUUACAACCUUGACUCCCAUUUGCAAUCGUUGCUUCCUGCCCAAAGCUUGGGAUAUAUUGGUCUUUGAUGUAUUUACAACAUUGCUAGGGGUGGGCGGGGAAACAAAA